Molecule: long non-coding RNA, 273 nt
Filed under: Lathyrus oleraceus (garden pea)
Lineage: Eukaryota; Viridiplantae; Streptophyta; Magnoliopsida; Fabales; Fabaceae
Description: Pisum sativum (pea) long non-coding RNA (PSAT_LNC032590)
Source: RNAcentral
AAUGAUGCAAAUGACACGCGGGAUCUUAGGGUUAAAAAUUAGGGUAUGACAGGUGCAUUCAGUAAAAUUUUAAAUAAAAUUGAGUGUCAAUCAUGAUUUGACAUGUGGCGCCCUCCCUUAUUAAAAAAAUUAAGAAAUAAAAUAACAUGAAAACUAAUAAAAAUCAGAAAAUGAAAUUAAAAUCAAAAAGAAAAAAAAAACCUCUUUUUUCUUGAAACAACGAGCAACCCUUCUUUCUUCUCCUAUUUGCAAAACACCCUUCAAUUUCUUCUC